Molecule: ribosomal RNA, 447 nt
Filed under: uncultured bacterium
Lineage: Bacteria
Description: partial 16S ribosomal RNA
Rfam family: Bacterial small subunit ribosomal RNA
Source: RNAcentral
AGCGAACGCUGGCGGCAGGCUUAACACAUGCAAGUCGAACGCCCCGCAAGGGGAGUGGCAGACGGGUGAGUAACACGUGGGAACGUACCUUUUGGUUCGGAAUAACUUGGGGAAACUCAAGCUAAUACCGGAUAAGCCCUUAUGGGGAAAGGUUUACUGCCGAAGGAUCGGCCCGCGUCUGAUUAGCUAGUUGGUGAGGUAAUGGCUCACCAAGGCGACGAUCAGUAGCUGGUCUGAGAGGAUGAUCAGCCACACUGGGACUGAGACACGGCCCAGACUCCUACGGGAGGCAGCAGUGGGGAAUAUUGGACAAUGGGGGCAACCCUGAUCCAGCCAAGCCGCGUGAGUGAUGAAGGCCUUAGGGUUGUAAAGCUCUUUUACCCGGGACGAUAAUGACUGUACCGGGAGAAUAAGCCCCGGCUAACUUCGUGCCAGCAGCCGCCGUAA